CAAGUACAGCCCAAGAAAAUUUGUGAAGGAAAAUUAAUAUAUAACUAAGUCAACGAAGAAUAUAAAAGUGUAGCAAGAGGAAUUACAGAGAAAAUUUUAGAUCAAAGGGGAUAUAAACAGGUACAGGUGAGAGGGAACAUCUAUACACAUGACACAAAACUCCUUGGAGCCACGUCAGAUAGGCAGGACUGGGCCCUUUGGCUCCCAGUAUGUACUCCUUAUCUGGAAAAUAUUCCUGCAAAGAUGAUGGGAUGCCCAAAAAGACCCAUCUUGAAAUUAAUGAGGACCAACUUCAGGGGAGCAACAUUCUGUAAUGAAACUCCACUGCCAAUGAAGCGAGAGAAUAGCGACGUGGUGUAUGGAUACAGUGACAGAAAAUCUGAGACUGCGCUGACAGGGCUCAGAUAGAGCACCCUAGAUGUGCAGUACUUUUAUUAUCCAGAAUUGAACAGAGAGGCUGAGCUAUCAUGUACAGAUACAAAAGAAGUCAGGGUUACUGCAUACAGAUCAACAAGGAGGAAGUGUUAGUAAAUACAACUGAGCAAGGAAAGAGGCUUUGCUAAUCUCUGUGGGAGCAGUCUUCAGGCCACAAAGAAGGAGGAGGUUCUGGUAGAAAUAUUCUGUACAUACUGCCAAUAUCUAUGCAUGGUCCAGAGGAAGGCUUUGCCAGCCCUCUGAGUUUCACUCCUGGGAGAAAGCUUUUCUAUUUUCCCAUGUCUCUUGGGUCUUUGACAUAUCUGUACCUCUGUCAACAGCACAAAAUCACUCAGAACUUCAUUCACUAGGGGAUUUGUUCCCUAUGAUUCCUAUAGUAACUGUUUAUAAAGUGUUGCACAGAGUAGCCUAUUUAUCCUGUAUACUUGAA
This 865-nucleotide long non-coding RNA is filed under the name Mus spicilegus (steppe mouse). RNAcentral describes it as "lncRNA (ENSMSIG00000013103.1)". The record is from RNAcentral. Lineage: Eukaryota; Metazoa; Chordata; Mammalia; Rodentia; Muridae.